Non-coding RNA from Girardinichthys multiradiatus, 584 nucleotides. NCBI's taxonomy places the organism in Eukaryota, Metazoa, Chordata, Actinopteri, Cyprinodontiformes, Goodeidae. The record is from the annotation of a RefSeq genome assembly.
AUGUUUGUGUCGGAGUCAGAGAGCCGUGUCUCUCUACAGUCAGAGGUUUUUGUACGACGCCUCAAUCAGUUUGUAUCACUGUGGUACACGUUCGGUGGAGGAACCAGACUGGAUGUUGGAAGUGAUACUCGUCCCACCCUGACUGUGCUGCCCCCCUCCAGUGAGGAGCUGCUGCAGGGGAAGGCCACCCUCAUGUGUCUGGCCAACAAGGGCUUCCCCUCAGACUGGAGUCUGUCCUGGAAGGUGGACGGCAGCAGCAGCAGCAGCAGCAGCUGGGAGCAGAGCAGGAGCCCCGGGGUGCUGCAGAAGGACGGCCUCUACAGCUGGAGCAGCACCCUGAGGCUCCCUGCAGACCAGUGGAGGAAGGUGGGCUCUGUGACCUGUGAGGCCACCCAGGGCUCCCAGACUGCAGUCACAGAGACACUGAGAAGAGACCAGUGUUCCCAGUCCUGAGCUGAUUCAUGGAUUUUCUAAUGUUAUUUUCUGCUACAGAUCACUUGCUUUAGAAAAUCUUUGUUGGAUUUUUUUAUCAGAAUCUCUGUUAUUUGUUCAGAAGCUUAAGUUCUAUUAAAACACAAUAAAUU